UCAGCAUGCUUGUGAAUUUGAAGCUCAAAUUGAUGCAAGAAUUUCAUGUUCCUUAGGCCGCAGCAUAUUACUAUCAUGGUCUGAUUCUUGAUGAGGGAAACACAGAAAAGUCUCAUGGAAUGGCUGUAGCUGCUCUGCAAGCAGCGGAUGAGUAUCUCAAAGAAAGCAAGAAGGCUUGUGAAACUUUUAAUUCAUCCGUUCCUGUCUCUAGGUAAUGUUGUGCUCACUUUCCAACUGCUUCCAUGUUACAAAUGGGAUCGCUUGUCAAUUUCUUUCUUUAUUCAUAUUAAUUACUCAGAAAUACAUGUGUACCUUCUGUUUCAUUAUAUAACAUCGAGAAAUCUGAGAAAAUGGAGAUUCAAAAGAGAUCAGACCACACCAUUUAUGAUAGCUGUAAUUUACUCCUGUUUUGGUCCUCCAUAAGAAUUUGGUUAGGAACAUUUGAAAGGUAGCUUCUAGAACUGAGGUAUACAAAUAUAUAAGCCUUUGGAAUGGUUAUUUAUUUAUUUAUUAUUUCUUUUAAAGCUAUUUAUAGACAGUAAUUUCUUAUUUGUGUCCAUGUAGCAUGAACUAUAGCAAAUAAUGUUAGUAUUUAUUUUUUCCUAUCAGUGUACUGUAAAAAAAUGAGAUGGCAGAAAGAAAAAGCAUUGUAUAUCUUUGCAUGCUUUUGGCAUCUGUUUGGUCCUCCUAGUUUUACAUCUAUCCAUGUGACAUCUCCAUUUUUACCGAUUUUGCCUAAGAUCCAAUUUUAAAUGAAGAAAACAACAUUUUUCUACUUAAUCACGUAACAAUUUUUUAAGAUUGAAUAAUAGGUUAGUGUACAUUACAUUACGACUAAAGAUGAUCUUGAUGGCUCUGAGAAUCAGUAAAUUCUUAUUUCUGAUGCAGGAAUCCACCUCUUUGGGGAACAAUGAAGUAUCUCUCAGAGAAGAUUCCCAAGGACACUUCUAGCAAGGUCCGAAUUAACAGGGAUCUAUACUCUAGUGAAAAGUAAGUCUUCUUUAGUAUUAUAACUCCAAAAAAUACAAGUCAUUCAUGCACGUAUAUCAGCAUAGAUGUUAUACAAAUAUGGUGGUGGGGCUGCAACUCUUACGUUAACAACAGGAAAACAGUGAACCAGUUGAGCAGAAAUUUUUGGGGUCUUUGUUCACGGAAUUUAAUAGAUAUUCUUGCCUAACCACAUGGAAGCAAGGUUGGGUCUUGUCUAAUGUAAACUAAUUCUUUUGAAUGUAGAAUUAUGGAGACAGCACCAACUUUGCCUGACUUUGCAUUGGCUCUGAAACCUGAUGAAUAUCAGCUUCCUAUUGUUGAUGCAUUUUGGAAUGAGGAAACAAACAAGGCCCAAGUCAACCACGAGAAGCUUAAAGGGUAGCUUUGCACGGGUUCCACACAUAUCAAACUCUGAAAAAAUACAUGUCUGCAAAUGCAAUGGUACAUGCUGUUCAUAGACGAGGAAGGGUUGUAGAAGAAUUACCAAUCAAUUUUUUGGUUAAUUUGCAUCCCAAAGGUCCAUCCUCUUCUCUUUGGCUUUUCCAUUUCCCCCCCCUUUUGAUCUUCUUGUUAAUUGAAUCGUUUUGUAUCAUUUCCUACAAAUGUGUAAUAAUCCCCCCGUGAGAAAGAUUUGUACAACGACCUUUUAUGUUUACUUUUAACACUGGAGGGAAAGGAUAAAGAAUGAAUUUAUUUGCCAACGUAAAAAAUUCUUUUUCCUGUUGUCGUAGUUCAUAAAAAAUAAGUCGAUAAGAACUCUUAG
Molecule: long non-coding RNA, 1753 nt
Filed under: Olea europaea subsp. europaea
Lineage: Eukaryota; Viridiplantae; Streptophyta; Magnoliopsida; Lamiales; Oleaceae
Source: RNAcentral